AGAGUUUGAUCCUGGCUCAGAUUGAACGCUGGCGGCAUGGCUAAAACAUGCAAGUCGAACGAUGAAAGCACCUUCGGGUGUGCAUGAAGUGGCGAAAGGGCGAGGAAUACGUUCCUACGUACCCCAAGGUCAGGGAUAGCCCCGGGAAACUGGGAGUAAUACCUGAUGACAUCUCCGGAUCAAAGGCUUCGGCCACCUUGGGAGCGGGGAACGCCCUAUCAGGUUGUUGGUGAGGUAACGGCUCACCAAGCCAAAGACGGGUAGCGGGUGUGAGAGCAUGACCCGCCGCAUCGGGACUGAGACACUGCCCGGACUCCUACGGGAGGCUGCAGUAACGAAUAUUCCGCAAUGCGCGAAAGCGUGACGGAGCAAUGCCGCGUGUGGGAUGAAUCUCUUCGGAGUGUAAACCACUGUCAGAGUUUAGGAACUCAAUGACCAGACUCAAAGGAAGGACCGGCUAACUUCGUGCCAGCAGCCGCGGUAAUACGAAGGGUCCGAGCGUUAAUCGGAAUCACUGGGCUUAAAGCGUGCGUAGGCGGACUUGAAGGCACCUUGUGAAAUCCCUCGGCUCAACCGAGGAACUGCAGGGUGAACCAUGAGUCUCGAGACAGGUAGAGGUUGUCGGAACGAUAGGUGGAGUGGUGAAAUGCGUUGAUAUCUAUCGGAACGCCAAUGGAGAAGUCAGGCAACUGGGCCUGUUCUGACGCUGAGGCACGAAAGCGUGGGUAGCGAACGGGAUUAGAUACCCCGGUAGUCCACGCCGUAAACGAUGCGUACUAGGUUGGGGAAGCUCUGACGCUGUUCCCGGCUGAAGCAAAAGUAUUAAGUACGCCGCCUGGGGAGUACGGUCGCAAGGCUAAAACUCAAAGGAAUUGACGGGGGCUCACACAAGCGGUGGAGCAUGUGGCUUAAUUCGAAGCAACGCGAAGAACCUUAUCCUGGGCUUGACAUGUACGAAUUAGCCUGUUGAAAGACAGGUGACGCCUUCGGGUGGAACGUACACAGGUGCUGCAUGGCUGUCGGCAGCACGUGCUGUG
RNAcentral lists this ribosomal RNA (1037 nucleotides) under marine metagenome. RNAcentral describes it as "bacterial SSU rRNA". It matches the Rfam family "Bacterial small subunit ribosomal RNA", at positions 8 to 1069 of the family's 1533-position model. The record is from RNAcentral.